GGGUCGGUAGCUCAACAUGGUAGAGCAGCGGACUUUUAAUCCGUUUGUUGAGGGCAGCAGACUCAUCUCGGUCCU
Molecule: transfer RNA, 75 nt
Filed under: Acidimicrobiaceae bacterium
Lineage: Bacteria; Bacillati; Actinomycetota; Acidimicrobiia; Acidimicrobiales; Acidimicrobiaceae
Description: tRNA-Lys
Rfam family: tRNA (bases 1-65)
About the family: Transfer RNA (tRNA) molecules are approximately 80 nucleotides in length. Their secondary structure includes four short double-helical elements and three loops (D, anti-codon, and T loops).
Source: RNAcentral